This 180-nucleotide small nucleolar RNA is filed under the name Jaculus jaculus (lesser Egyptian jerboa). RNAcentral's name for it is "Small nucleolar RNA U3 (ENSJJAG00000006231.1)". It matches the Rfam family "Small nucleolar RNA U3". From Rfam's summary of the family: Small nucleolar RNAs (snoRNAs) are involved in the processing and modification of rRNA in the nucleolus. There are two main classes of snoRNAs: the box C/D class, and the box H/ACA class. U3 snoRNA is a member of the box C/D class. The record is from RNAcentral. Lineage: Eukaryota; Metazoa; Chordata; Mammalia; Rodentia; Dipodidae.
AUGCCCUGGCAUGCCAAUUCUCUCUUUCUCAGUGUGUGUCUCAGAAACUAUGAGGAGGACAUGCAGUGUUCUUUUCUGAGUGUGACGCUGGCUGUUGGUGUUGCUUUGCUGCCAUUACCACUUGCAAUUGAUGAUCACUCUUGCUCUCCCUCGGGAGGGCUGGAGGAAGAGGACACAAGU